UUAUUAACUCACGUGAUUAAAAUAACUCCACUUUUCCAAUCUUAAACUAUAUUUAUAUGCGUUAAACAUGGUCAACACAUUCGAAUUAUCCCUGAAUAUGGUGAUAACUCAGACAGUAUUCGGAGGUCACUGUCGAUAAUAUGAGGAUAUCAUCAAAUCAAACAUAUACAACUUUAUACGCUUAGCUCCGUACUAUUAAUAACCGAAGGGGCGCCGACCGCAAUGUGAUUAUGGAGGAAGCUACCAUCCCAAUGUGGCGCCAACUGUUUAAUAUCGUAUACGGCAUUCUCGUCCGACAUAGACGCAGUGAUCUCGAAAUCGAACUCUGAAGAGCAGGUCACUAUCACAACAUGGCGCCGAUUGCCAGUCACCGUAAGCGUCGCCUCUACUCGCGCCGAUCAAGUGCAUUACAAGCGGUAUUGCAAAAUGGUUAUACCGGUAUUGCAAAAUGGUUAUAUAAAUCGCAAUUCGAUCUUGUCAAGGGUCCAGCAACAACAAGGCAUCUGUCAUCCCAUGGAUUCUUACUACCAUUAACAAUGUUACACACUCGUCAACAACCUAAACGUCAACAUUAACCAUUCAACUUAUUACCUGCACUCUAACUGGCAAGAACGUCACUGCAGCCCUAUAAAUAAAUAACUACCAGGCAUAUCACCCUGGUCACAUUAGCUCAGUCAGGAAGCUUUGCUAUGGAAUAUGGGAGUCGGUGGUGCUUUAUGCGUCCCCGGUAUGGACCAAAGCGCUGUUGACCAAGAGGAAUAGAAACAUCUUGAAGAGGGCACAAAGGGCCGCAUUUAUGAGAUCGUCUACGGCCUACAGAACUGUGUCGCGUGCAGCGCUGUGCAUAUUGACGGGUCUAGAGCAGAAAUUGCUGAAAAUUUUGUAGAAAGAAUGGGGGCAGUGGAAGAACGUAUAGACGGCAGGUAGAGGGAUAAAUGGAGUGUGUAUGGAGAAGAUAAUUGGACCAAGAUGUUAGUAAAUGACGCUUGUACGUUUAAGAAAUACAAAAGACAUAUUUACCAUUGGACGAUGCAACUGUUGACUGGACAUGGGAUAUUCAACGUGUACCGUAGGACGAUCAGCAAAGAAGUUCACUCCAGAUACUGGGAUUGCGACACAGAAGUAGACGACGCGGAGCAUGCGUUAUUUCACUGCC
Bombus impatiens (common eastern bumble bee) is the source of this 1156-nucleotide long non-coding RNA. RefSeq lists it as uncharacterized. NCBI's taxonomy places the organism in Eukaryota, Metazoa, Arthropoda, Insecta, Hymenoptera, Apidae. The record is from RefSeq and is a predicted model, not a curated record. The transcript is spliced from 3 exons.